Molecule: ribosomal RNA, 462 nt
Filed under: uncultured Streptococcus sp.
Lineage: Bacteria; Bacillati; Bacillota; Bacilli; Lactobacillales; Streptococcaceae
Description: bacterial SSU rRNA
Rfam family: Bacterial small subunit ribosomal RNA
Source: RNAcentral
GGGGCCCGCACAAGCGGUGGAGCAUGUGGUCAAUUCGACGCAACGCGAAGAACCUUACCUGGGCUUGACAUCCGCUGACAGUCCCGAAACGGGAUCUUCCCCGCAAGGGGACGGCGAGACAGGUGGUGCAUGGUUGUCGUCAGCUCGUGUCGUGAGAUGUUGGGUUAAGUCCCGCAACGAGCGCAACCCCUAUUGUUAGUUGCCAUCAUUCAGUUGGGCACUCUAGCGAGACUGCCGGUAAUAACCGGAGGAAGUGGGAUGACGUCAAAUCAUCAUGCCCCUUAUGACCUGGGCUACACACGUGCUACAAUGGUUGGUACAACGAGUUGCGAGUCGGUGACGGCGAGCUAAUCUCUUAAAGCCAAUCUCAGUUCGGAUUGUAGGCUGCAACUCGCCUACAUGAAGUCGGAAUCGCUAGUAAUCGCGGAUCAGCACGCCGCGGUGAAUACGUUCCCGGGCCUU